Molecule: long non-coding RNA, 563 nt
Filed under: Ananas comosus (pineapple)
Lineage: Eukaryota; Viridiplantae; Streptophyta; Magnoliopsida; Poales; Bromeliaceae
Description: long non-coding RNA (ACOM_LNC036335)
Source: RNAcentral
UAAAUAAAUUCGGUACGUUUUUAUUUAAAAAAAUAUAUACUAGUAAUAAUUAAAUUUAGAGGCAAUUGCUUAUAUACCUCUGAAAAAUUUUCGACUUUCUGAUUUAUCCUUCUUAGAAGGCUAAUAUUGAAAAUAUUCUUCUUACGUUUCAAUCUAUUUCAAAUAUAUCUCUAAAGUUAAAUUCUGUUAAUGAACAGUUAAAUUAGAUGUUAUCUCUAUGAAAUUACUAUUUUGCCCUUUCAAACAUCUCUUUUAAAUAUACCUUUCUACCAUCACAAAUAUUUUUUAUUUGUCCUUCAGUUAAUUGCAAAAGAGUCAUUUUAAUUUUUUUUUAAUUCUAGUAGAUAUUUAACUCACGUUUAAUCCAAGUUAACUUAACAGAUGAAAAGUGCAACGGUAUUUUAAAAUAACGGAGGAACAUAUGAGGGGUAUAUUAGAAAAAAUAAAAAUAGAGAUAAUGAGAUAUUUCUGAAGUUUUGAAGGGUAUAUCGGCAAUUGUCUGUUAAAUUUAACUAUUGUGAAAUUAAUGUAUGUGUAAUUAAUUAGUGGCUAAUAAAGGUGUA